RNAcentral lists this ribosomal RNA (253 nucleotides) under uncultured bacterium. RNAcentral's name for it is "partial 16S ribosomal RNA". It matches the Rfam family "Bacterial small subunit ribosomal RNA", at positions 524 to 776 of the family's 1533-position model. The record is from RNAcentral.
UACGUAGGGCGCAAGCGUUGUCCGGAAUUAUUGGGCGUAAAGAGCUCGUAGGCGGCCAGUUGCGUCUGCUGUGAAAUCCCGGGGCUCAACCCCGGGCGUGCAGUGGAUACGGGCUGGCUAGAGGCAGGCAGGGGAGAACGGAAUUCCCGGUGUAGCGGUGAAAUGCGCAGAUAUGUGGAGGAAUACCGAUGGCGAAGGCAGCCCCCUGGGCCAAUACUGACGCUCAUGCACGAAAGCGUGGGGAGCAAACAGG